AACAUGUCCUUCAACUUGCUAAUUCUGCUACACCUGGAGCUGGAGGGGAGAAUUUAAUGGCUAUUGGUAAUUGAAGGGUCAUUUUAUAAACAUGACUAGUUAAGCUGGCAAGGUGUUCCAUCCUUUUUGGGAAAUUAUGGAGAUUGAUGCAAACUGUUCAAUUUUCUAGGCUCCA
This is a long non-coding RNA of Neltuma alba, 175 nucleotides long. RefSeq lists it as uncharacterized. The transcript is spliced from 3 exons. Lineage: Eukaryota; Viridiplantae; Streptophyta; Magnoliopsida; Fabales; Fabaceae. The record is from RefSeq and is a predicted model, not a curated record.